RNAcentral lists this ribosomal RNA (253 nucleotides) under uncultured bacterium. RNAcentral's name for it is "partial 16S ribosomal RNA". It matches the Rfam family "Bacterial small subunit ribosomal RNA", at positions 524 to 776 of the family's 1533-position model. The record is from RNAcentral.
UACAGAGGGUGCAAGCGUUGUUCGGAAUUAUUGGGCGUAAAGGGCGCGUAGGCGGUUCGGCAAGUCUCUAGUGAAAUCUCUGGGCUCAACUCAGAGUCUGCUGGGGAAACUGCCGGGCUUGAGUGUGGGAGAGGAGAGUGGAAUUUCCGGUGUAGCGGUGAAAUGCGUAGAUAUCGGAAGGAACACCUGUGGCGAAAGCGGCUCUCUGGACCACAACUGACGCUGAGGCGCGAAAGCUAGGGGAGCAAACAGG